AGCGAACGCUGGCGGCAGGCCUAACACAUGCAAGUCGAACGAACUCUUCGGAGUUAGUGGCGGACGGGUGAGUAACACGUGGGAACGUGCCUUUUGGUUCGGAAUAACUCAGGGAAACUUGUGCUAAUACCGAAUGUGCCCUUCGGGGGAAAGAUUUAUCGCCAUUAGAGCGGCCCGCGUCUGAUUAGUUAGUUGGUGAGGUAACGGCUCACCAAGGCGACGAUCAGUAGCUGGUCUGAGAGGAUGACCAGCCACACUGGGACUGAGACACGGCCCAGACUCCUACGGGAGGCAGCAGUGGGGAAUCUUGCGCAAUGGGCGAAAGCCUGACGCAGCCAUGCCGCGUGAAUGAUGAAGGUCUUAGGAUUGUAAAAUUCUUUCACCGGGGACGAUAAUGACGGUACCCGGAGAAGAAGCCCCGGCUAACUUCGUG
This 433-nucleotide ribosomal RNA is filed under the name uncultured bacterium. RNAcentral's name for it is "partial 16S ribosomal RNA". It matches the Rfam family "Bacterial small subunit ribosomal RNA", at positions 29 to 507 of the family's 1533-position model. The record is from RNAcentral.